AUUGAACGCUGGCGGCAGGCCUAACACAUGCAAGUCGAACGAGUGGCGGACGGGUGAGUAAUGUCUGGGAAACUGCCUGAUGGAGGGGGAUAACUACUGGAAACGGUAGCUAAUACCGCAUACCAUCAGAUGUGCCCAGAUGGGAUUAGCUAGUUGGUGGGGUAACGGCUCACCAAGGCGACGAUCCCUAGCUGGUCUGAGAGGAUGACCAGACAAACUGGAACGGAGACACGGUGCAGACGCCGAAGGGAGGUAGCAGUGGGGAAUAGUGAACAAUGGGCGCAAGCCUGAUGCAGCCAUGCCGCGGGUAUGAAGAAGGCCUUCGGGUUGUAAAGUACUUUCAGCGGGGAGGCGUUACCCGCAGAAGAAGCACCGUCUAACUCCGGGCCAGCAGACGAGGUAAUUC
Molecule: ribosomal RNA, 406 nt
Filed under: uncultured bacterium
Lineage: Bacteria
Description: partial 16S ribosomal RNA
Rfam family: Bacterial small subunit ribosomal RNA
Source: RNAcentral